RNAcentral lists this ribosomal RNA (383 nucleotides) under uncultured eukaryote. RNAcentral's name for it is "partial 18S ribosomal RNA". It matches the Rfam family "Eukaryotic small subunit ribosomal RNA", at positions 592 to 976 of the family's 1831-position model. The record is from RNAcentral.
CAAUAGCGUAUAUUAAAGUUGUUGCAGUUAAAAAGCUCGUAGUUGGAUUUCUGGUGGGAGCGAUCGGUCUGGCGCUUAGCGCGAGUACUUGCAUCGUCUCCGGCCAUCCUUGGGGAGAGUCUGUCUGGCAUUAGGUUGUCGGACAGAGGAUCCUCAUCGUUUACUGUGAAAAAAUUAGAGUGUUCAAAGCAGGCUUAUGCCGUUGAAUAUGUUAGCAUGGAAUAAUAAGAUAGGACUUUGGUACUAUUUUGUUGGUUUGCGCACCAAAGUAAUGAUUAAUAGGGACAGUUGGGGGUAUUCGUAUUCCGUUGUCAGAGGUGAAAUUCUUGGAUUUACGGAAGACGAACUACUGCGAAAGCAUUUACCAAGGAUGUUUUCAUUAA